UACAUGAGUGGCUAGCGUUAUCCGUAUUUAUUGGGCGUAAAGGAUGAGUAGGUGGUAAAAGUAGUUACACUUUACUAUAACGGUUAACCGGGUUAAGUUGUAAUACCUUUUUACUAGAGUUUUUAGUUUGUAUUUAACAUCUACAAAUUAGUGAUAAAAUACUGUGAGUUUGUAGGUAUUACCGAUAGCGAAAGUAAAAUACCGCUAAAAACUGACACUGAGGCAUUAAAGUGUAGUCAUCCAAUAGGAUUAGAGACCCUAGUAGUCUACACUAUAAACGAUGAGUAUUAAACUAUUAGUUUAAGUUAACACGAAAAAUACUCCGCCUGGGCAGUAUAGUCGCAAGGUUGAAACUUAACAGAAUUGGCGGGAAUCCGUUCGAACGGUGGAACAUGUGGUUUAAUGCGAUAAUCCGCGAAAAAUCUUACCAAGAUUAUCAAAAUUUUCAGUUUGUUUUAACUAAACUUACUGCCGGGUUUUGAGAGGUACUGCAUGGCUGUCGUCAGUUCGUGCUGUGAGGUAUAAAAUUAAGUUUUAUAACGAACGAAACUCCAUUAAUUAGUUUUAAUAAAUUUUAUUUUAAGUUGUAAACAUUACACAAAUAAUGUUAAUUUGUAAAAUUUAUUUUUUAAUUUAAAGAUUUAUUAAUAAUGUUAUUUCUAUAACUCUAUUAAUAAAUGGAGGGAAGGACUGAAGUCAAGUCAUUAUGGUCCAUGUAUUUUGGGCUACACACGUGUUACAAAGGUAAAGACAAAGAGUCGCAAAAAAGUGAUUUAGAGCGAAUCUCUAAAAAUUAUCUUAGUCCAGAUUGUUUUCUGAAAUUCGAAAGCAUGAAGACGAAAUCGUUAGUAAUCGUAGAUUAGCACGCUACGGUGAAUGUAAAACCGGGUUUUGCACACACCGCCCAUCACGCUCUAAGAAUCAACGUGUGUUGAAGUGCCUUUUACGCUCAGUAAUGUCUCACCUGUACACUUAUAUUUUUAUAAAUUAUUGUGUACUGUCUCUGUUUUUUAUACAUAUACAUAUACGUAUAAAGACGUUGAUUGCUAACAUGAAUAUUUUAAAAAAGAAAAUCCUUUUAUGAUUUUGUAAUCCUUGGUUAGCGGGCACAGAAUGGGUUAAUAGGACAGGUUGGUUAUUUGAGUGAAGUUG
Molecule: ribosomal RNA, 1152 nt
Filed under: Colpoda magna
Lineage: Eukaryota; Ciliophora; Colpodea; Colpodida; Colpodidae
Description: partial small subunit ribosomal RNA
Rfam family: Bacterial small subunit ribosomal RNA (bases 1-971)
Source: RNAcentral